GCCCAGCUGGCUCAGUUGGUAGAACAUGAGACUAUCAAUCUCAGGGUCGUCAGUUCAUGCCCCACGUUGGGCA
Rattus norvegicus (Norway rat) is the source of this 73-nucleotide non-coding RNA. The record is from Rfam. NCBI's taxonomy places the organism in Eukaryota, Metazoa, Chordata, Mammalia, Rodentia, Muridae.